UCUUAUGUUCAUACAAAUAUUUAAACAUGUUAAGUUUGCUGAAAACGCAGUUGACAGUGAGAGGACGUUUCUUUUUUUGCUGAGUUUAUACUCUACAGUUUGAAAUGUAGCUUUACUGUUCUUUUUUUAUAUUUAACACCACUGCUUAGGGAGUGGAUCUUCCAGGAUGUGCUGCAUGUGGACACGAAGAGAGUCUCUCUGGUCUUUAGAACCUUCUACACCAUCCUGAGAAAUGAAAUCAUCAGGAAGUACUCCAUAGUGAAAAGAUCUGAUCCUGAGCUAGCCUGAAGACUCACACGAAAUUCUUCAGCUGCUCUGUCGUUCACUACAUACUUUAGUCUGAGACUGCCAUCAUUGAAGUUGUUUGUGGUGAUGAGGGGCACUAGGGGUGUUGUACAAAAUAUAGUCAUCAGCGAUUGGAUCGUCUUUAACCAAUCAGAUUAUUCAGGCCAAUAAAAUAUGUUCUAACUGCAGUUUUAAUCCAGUGUGUUCUGGCCCAACCCAUCGGUUUCUGGACCAAUCAGACGGACCCAUGCGUUUCCAUUCGGUGGUGAAUGUUCGGAGAGGUUCCCAGAUCCAGACAAAAAAAAAAAAAUAUGACAUUUUGUAGGCGUGGCGUAGGGUUUGGCAGCAGCAAGUAGUCUUGAUAGCCAGGAAAAUCCUGAGCACCAGUAGUAUCUGAAAGUAGAUGAGCCAGUAUUUUGUGGUUGCAGGUUACUGUAAAUGACGAUAUAAAUAAACCAUUACAUACUCGCUGCA
Non-coding RNA from Salmo salar (Atlantic salmon), 759 nucleotides. The record is from RefSeq and is a predicted model, not a curated record. Lineage: Eukaryota; Metazoa; Chordata; Actinopteri; Salmoniformes; Salmonidae.